GCCGGGCGUGGUAGCUCACGCCUGUAAUCCCAGCACUUUGGGAGGCCGAGAUGGGUGGAUCACUUGAGGUCAGGAGUUUGAGACCAGCCUGGCCAACAUGGUGAAACCCCAUCUCUA
RNAcentral lists this non-coding RNA (117 nucleotides) under Gorilla gorilla gorilla (western lowland gorilla). The record is from Rfam by way of RNAcentral. Lineage: Eukaryota; Metazoa; Chordata; Mammalia; Primates; Hominidae.